Molecule: ribosomal RNA, 765 nt
Filed under: uncultured archaeon
Lineage: Archaea
Description: bacterial SSU rRNA
Rfam family: Archaeal small subunit ribosomal RNA
Source: RNAcentral
UGGGCCCAUAGGGUUCGUAGCUCGGGAACUGAGGGUAAUACCCCAUAGGUGUUCGAAACUGGAAUGUUCUUACACCCAAAGCUCCGGCGCUCAAGGAUGGGUCUGCGGCUGAUUAGCUAGUAGGUGGUGUAACGGACCACCUAGGCGAUAAUCAGUAUGGGUUGUGAUAGCAAUAGCCCAGAGAUGGACUCUUAGACACUAGUCCAAGCCUUACGGGGUGCAGCAGGCGCGAAACCUUUACAAUGCACGAAAGUGUGAUAAGGGAAUUCCAAGUGCACUUGUACCACAAGUGCUUUUCAGGAGUGCAAAUUAUUCCUGGAAUAAGGGGUGGGUAAGACUGGUGCCAGCCGCCGCGGUAAAACCAGCACCUUAAGUGGCAGUCGAUUUUAUUGGGCUUAAAGCGUUUGUAGCCGGUCUAGUGGGUUCCUGGUGAAAUCUAUCUGCUUAACAGAUAGGCGUGCUGGGAAAACUACUAGGCUUGAGGACGGGAGAGGUUAGGGGAACUUCUUGGGUAGGGGUGAAAUCCUAUAAUCCCUGAAGGACCAACAGUGGCGAAAGCGCCUAACAUGAACGUGCCUGACGGUGAGAAACGAAAGCUAGGGUAGCGAAACGGAUUAGAUACCCGUGUAGUCCUAGCCGUAAACUAUGUAGACUAGGUGGAGUGUGACUCUAGUGGUCAUGCUAUGCCGAAGAGAAAUCGUUAAGUCUACCGCCUGGGGAGUACGCUCGCAAGAGUGAAACUUAAAGGAAUUGGCGGGGGAGCAC